GAGGUUUAAAUUUGUUGUAGGAAUUAUUAGGAUUUGGUUUAGGAUUUGGUUAGGAUUUGGUUUGGGAUUUAGGAUUUGGAUUAGGAUUUGAUUUAGGAUUUAGGAUUUGAUUAGGAUUUGAUUUAAGGUUUAGGGUUUGGAUUAGGAUUUGAUUUAGGGUUUAGGAUUUGGAUAGGAUUUGAUUUAGGAUUUAAGAUUUGAUUAAGAUUUGGUUUAGGGUUUAGGAUUCGAAUUAGGGUUUGGAUUAGGAUUUGAUUAGGAUUUGAUUUAAGGUUUAGAGUUUGGAUUUAGAUUUGGUUUAGGGUUCGGUUAGGAUUUGAUUUAGGAUUUAGGAUUUGAUUAGGUUUUAAUUUAGGGUUUAGGAUUUGGAUUAGGGUUUGGUUUAGGAUUUGGUUUAGGAUUUGGUUAGGGCUUGAUUUAGGGUUUAGGAUUUUAUUAUGAUUUAAGAUUCAAUUAGUUUGGCUUAAAUUUUGAAUGAAGUUAAAUAGGAUUUUAAUUAGAAUUAAAUUAAGAUUGAAUUGAGAUGUAUUUGAAUGACAUUUGUGUUCUUUUUAAUGUUUCUUUAAAAAUUCCUAUUAUUUUUUUGAAAUUUCUUUGAGGUUUUUUUGAAUUUGAUUAAGCUUGCU
This 626-nucleotide long non-coding RNA is filed under the name Physcomitrium patens. RNAcentral describes it as "long non-coding RNA (PPAT_LNC011488)". The record is from RNAcentral. Lineage: Eukaryota; Viridiplantae; Streptophyta; Bryopsida; Funariales; Funariaceae.